UACGUAGGGUGCGAGCGUUAAUCGGAAUUACUGGGCGUAAAGCGUGCGCAGGCGGUUAUGCAAGACAGAUGUGAAAUCCCCGGGCUUAACCUGGGAACUGCAUUUGUGACUGCAUAGCUAGAGUGUGUCAGAGGGGGGUAGAAUUCCACGUGUAGCAGUGAAAUGCGUAGAUAUGUGGAGGAAUACCGAUGGCGAAGGCAGCCCCCCUGGGAUAACACUGACGCUCAUGCACGAAAGCGUGGGGAGCAAACAGG
Molecule: ribosomal RNA, 254 nt
Filed under: uncultured bacterium
Lineage: Bacteria
Description: partial 16S ribosomal RNA
Rfam family: Bacterial small subunit ribosomal RNA
Source: RNAcentral